Molecule: ribosomal RNA, 447 nt
Filed under: uncultured bacterium
Lineage: Bacteria
Description: bacterial SSU rRNA
Rfam family: Bacterial small subunit ribosomal RNA
Source: RNAcentral
UCGGGAAUUUUGGGCAAUGGGGGAAACCCUGACCCAGCAACGCCGCGUGAAGGAUGAAGUAUUUCGGUAUGUAAACUUCGAAAGAAUAGGAAGAAUAAAUGACGGUACUAUUUAUAAGGUCCGGCUAACUACGUGCCAGCAGCCGCGGUAAUACGUAGGGACCAAGCGUUGUUCGGAUUUACUGGGCGUAAAGGGCGCGUAGGCGGCAUGACAAGUCACUUGUGAAAUCUCUGGGCUUAACCCAGAACGGCCAAGUGAUACUGUCGCGCUAGAGUGCAGAAGGGGCAAUCGGAAUUCUUGGUGUAGCGGUGAAAUGCGUAGAUAUCAAGAGGAACACCUGAGGUGAAGACGGGUUGCUGGGCUGACACUGACGCUGAGGCACGAAAGCCAGGGGAGCAAACGGGAUUAGAUACCCAAGUAGUCCCUGAGCGGGCUGGCAAGGCGCAU